RNAcentral lists this non-coding RNA (24 nucleotides) under Arabidopsis thaliana (thale cress). The record is from RNAcentral. Lineage: Eukaryota; Viridiplantae; Streptophyta; Magnoliopsida; Brassicales; Brassicaceae.
AUACAACCCUCUCAUAUAUCGAUG